GAUGAACGCUGGCGGCGUGCCUAAUACAUGCAAGUCGAGCGAACAGACGAGGAGCUUGCUCCUCUGACGUUAGCGGCGGACGGGUGAGUAACACGUGGAUAACCUACCUAUAAGACUGGGAUAACUUCGGGAAACCGGAGCUAAUACCGGAUAAUAUAUUGAACCGCAUGGUUCAAUAGUGAGAGACGGUUUUGCUGUCACUUAUAGAUGGAUCCGCGCCGCAUUAGCUAGUUGGUAAGGUAACGGCUUACCAAGGCAACGAUGCGUAGCCGACCUGAGAGGGUGAUCGGCCACACUGGAACUGAGACACGGUCCAGACUCCUACGGGAGGCAGCAGUAGGGAAUCUUCCGCGAUGGGCGAAAGCCUGACGGAGCAACGCCGCGUGAGUGAUGAAGGUCUUCGGAUCGUAAAACUCUGUUAUUAGGGAAGAACAAAUGUGUAAGUAACUAUGCACGUCUUGACGGUACCUAAUCAGAAAGCCACGGCUAACUACGUG
Molecule: ribosomal RNA, 497 nt
Filed under: uncultured bacterium
Lineage: Bacteria
Description: partial 16S ribosomal RNA
Rfam family: Bacterial small subunit ribosomal RNA
Source: RNAcentral